Molecule: long non-coding RNA, 151 nt
Organism: Sebastes umbrosus (honeycomb rockfish)
Lineage: Eukaryota; Metazoa; Chordata; Actinopteri; Perciformes; Sebastidae
Exons: 4
Source: RefSeq, a predicted model, not a curated record
CCCAAACAGGCGGCAAUAACUACGCUCUUAGAGUCAUUACUUGAGGUAAACCAUCACCACUUCUUUCAGCGGGCACAACAGCUGAGCCAUGGGCGGAGGACCGUCAAAACCUGAGACAACAACAAGAGAGAUCUGCAGUUUGUGGAGGAUU